This 107-nucleotide small nucleolar RNA is filed under the name Gossypium arboreum. RNAcentral's name for it is "Plant small nucleolar RNA R71". It matches the Rfam family "Plant small nucleolar RNA R71". Rfam says of the family: R71 is a member of the C/D box family of snoRNAs containing the C (UGAUGA) and D (CUGA) box motifs. Multiple nearly identical copies of this snoRNA have been identified in Arabidopsis, and it is thought to function as a 2'-O-ribose methylation guide for 18S ribosomal RNA. The record is from Rfam by way of RNAcentral. Lineage: Eukaryota; Viridiplantae; Streptophyta; Magnoliopsida; Malvales; Malvaceae.
AACCCGUGGUGAGGGUACCUUCGCAAUAGAUCUUUGUAUCUCUCCCAUACAUCAUAGAGUGUUUCUAGAUCCAUCUACACAAAAGAAGAGAUAUCAUUCCUGAACUU